UAGGGAAUCUUCCACAAUGGGCGCAAGCCUGAUGGAGCAACACCGCGUGAGUGAAGAAGGGUUUCGGCUCGUAAGGCUCUGUUGUUAAAGAAGAACACGUAUGAGAGUAACUGUUCAUACGUUGACGGUAUUUAACCAGAAAGUCACGGCUAACUACGUGCCAG
RNAcentral lists this ribosomal RNA (164 nucleotides) under uncultured bacterium. RNAcentral's name for it is "partial 16S ribosomal RNA". It matches the Rfam family "Bacterial small subunit ribosomal RNA", at positions 355 to 511 of the family's 1533-position model. The record is from RNAcentral.